GGGCAGCCUAGCUGGCCGUCUCGCAGGUCCCUCUCACCCCCUGCGCCGCCGUCGCACCGUGCCCUCCCCCAUUGCGGGCUCUGUCAUUCUCAAACCCAGGUCGACCCACUCUUCCCGCCCACUGGCCCGCCGCAGCUCCCUCCAUUGGCUCGCGGCACCUGUCCGUUUCCUGGGAGAGUUCAGCACCUCCCGGCAGGAAGAGGCUCCGGCCUCAUUGGGUGCGUGAGAAGGGAAGGGUGGAUCCUAAAAGAUCCCUUUUACAGUUGGAUUCUCCCUCUUGGAUCUGGCUCUGCCUUAGUCCGACCUAGAGGGAUCAGCUUCGCCCACGCCCACUCUCACCCGGAACCUUUCAUCUCUUAUUGAAGCCUUUUAGGCCCAUUGGGAUGUUCAUUAGAACUCUGAAAACUACAGUUCUCCCCUUUAUGAGGACUGCACCACAGCUCGCCCUCUCCUGGGUUCCGGUAAGAAGAGAUUCCAAUACCACUCUUUUUUCAGAAUUCAGAAAGGCAAGAGACCACCUUACUGAGCUUCAAACUGGGGCUGGGAACGCUGCCAUGAAUUGGGCUUGGUCUGUCUGAAGGGAGCCACCUUUUCGACAAUCCUUAGACUUCUUUUGCCUGUUGGAAUUACACCUUGGAUCGUGGCGAAGUCUAUAGAGGUCAGAUUAAGAAGAACCAAAGCAGAAUAAACGUAGAACCCGAUGCUGAGUUCACGAGUGAGGACGACCUCUUCCUAUAUGCUUUGCUAUACCCUGCGUUUUGAACAUUAAGGACGAGAUAGGAGGCCCAUAAUGUUUCUUCUUGCUUUAAUCCUGUCGUGGCAACGUUGACUUCCAGUAAGAAAGCCUGGUUGCAGAGUGAGCCCAUGGGACAGCCCUCUGAAAUUAUACUGCUUACAACCAUGCUGAGUCUGCAAGGACUUCGUCCAAGCCUUUCCGUCCAGGACCUCAAACAGAUCCAAUCACAAGAAGAGAGAUUUCAGGAAAGAGAAAAUUAUUCCUAUCAUCGGGGUUUUUGAAGAACAUGAAAUGACUGGGAAAAUAAUCAUGUUAAGUGGAAAAAAAAAAGAAAUCUAUCUGUUGUAAUUUUCAAAUAAUUUUUAAAUAAAUUUGAAAAAUUAAGAGAACUAUAUAUAUAAUACAUUCCUAAUCUUGUGAAAAAUAUAUAUGCAUUAAUAUUAUUGAAAGAAAUAUAUCAAAAGGUGAACAGCAAUUAUCACCAAUCUAGAUUAUGAGAUUAGGAGUGAUUUUUUUUCUUUGUCCUAUACUAUUUAAUAUUUUCUACCAUUAAAAUAUUCUGAUUUUCUAAUUAGAAUAGUACGUUAGACAAAGAAGGACAAAUAUCACAUGAACUCUCACUCUCUUAUGGAACAGAUCUUGUGGAAUCUAAAAAAGUUGAACUCAUAGAAAAAGAGGAAAAUGAUGGUUACCAGUUAGAAAAAAGGAAUAAGUUCAAGAGAUCUAUUGUACACCAUGGUCAAUAUAGUUAACAAUAUAUUUUAUACUUUAAAAUUGCUAAGGUAGUAGAUUUUAAGUGUUCUCACCACACAAAAAAAUAAGUAUGUGAAAAGCAUAUGGUAAUUAGCUUGAUUUAACCACGCCACAGUGCAUACAUAUGUCAAAACAUCAUGUUGUAUACUAUAAAUAUAUACACUUUUUGUCAAUUUUAAACAGGUUAUAAAAAAACAUGUUAUUGUUGAUAAUUAUGAAAAAUUUUAAUGAUGUGGAAAUGUGUACAGUAUAAUGAUAAAUGAAAGAGUAGUAAAAAUCCUUAUAAAAUAUAA
RNAcentral lists this long non-coding RNA (1782 nucleotides) under Homo sapiens (human). Its description in RNAcentral is "HSALNT0377793". Lineage: Eukaryota; Metazoa; Chordata; Mammalia; Primates; Hominidae. The record is from RNAcentral.